Molecule: long non-coding RNA, 1128 nt
Organism: Drosophila yakuba
Lineage: Eukaryota; Metazoa; Arthropoda; Insecta; Diptera; Drosophilidae
Exons: 2
Source: RefSeq, a predicted model, not a curated record
CAAGACUCGAGACAGACGACAAUGGAAACUGGCCUGGGUUUUGGGCCCAUUUCGCAUCAUUGGCAGUUGGAGCGACACAUUUUCUUUGUGUGCGGUUUUGGUUGUUGUUUGUUGACUGGGCGAAAUUAAUUAAUGGUGAAUGGCAAAUUUGCAGCUAAUAGGAGGAAAACUUGAAUCGUUUUCUGGUCUGUCGCUGUGACAACUAACUUGUCGUGCACUGAACAGAAAAGAGCUUAACUAAGGUCAUAAAGUCUUGAGCAAUUCCUUUAACACUGUGAUGCAUAUGGAAUGGAUACGUGCAUAUGUGAGAUAUUUUUCUGGAUUUGUGAACCGUUCAUUUUCUAUACCGUUUCGAGUUUUAACUCGCCUUUGAUUAAAACUUCAGGCCCGGUUCGAAGUUUUUCCUUGUCGCUGGAAAAUUUCCUAAAUGACAACUUCCGCCUUCGAGAUAAGUUAAUUAAUUUUCAUGGACAUGGCUGGCUGAAAACUUUUCCCCUUCCGCGACACUCAAAUUUAAGAACAUUUUUCGUUGCGUACAGAUUGAAUUUUCAGCGAAACUUGUGUAAAGUCAACUGGGACCGAGAGUGAGAGGCCGGGUCUUUUGUAAAUAUUGAUUACUUGAUAAGGCGCAGAAUCCUUUAAUGCUGCGUACCGUUGACCAUGGCUAACAACGGAAACGAGUUGGGAUGGACCAAAGUUUGCCGGGGGGUGCGGAGUUGUGGGGCUUUGGAAACAAGACCAAAAAGGCGAAAUACCUUCAUUAAGCGAAUGAAGAAAAGCAAAAGAACCCUUUAUCUAAUGCCACAAAAUGGGGGAUGCCGCUGGUUGCGGCUGACGUUUCGUGUGUAUACAAAAACACCGUAAGCCGAAAGCAAGACAUUUUAAAUGUUUAUUAAAACAAUAAGGAAAUGGUUUGUGCCGAAAACGGAAAAAGGCCAGGCGGAAAAGGAAAAACUGUUGCGAAAGAAGGUGAAAAAAGGCCAGCUCGACACACACAAAAGGGGGAUAAUCCCACGCCCGCACAUAGACGACACCCUUGCCACAUGGACACAUUCAGGAAAAAUAAGAGGGUUCUGGCUUUUCUUACGGCGACCGUUUUGUCUUAAAAAAGGUAGCAGACGUCCAGUA